CCCGCUGAACUUAAGCAUAUCAAUAAGCGGAGGAAAAGAAACUAACAAGGAUUCCCCUAGUAACUGCGAGUGAAGCGGGAAAAGCUCAAAUUUAAAAUCUGGUGGCCCUUGGUCAUCCGAGUUGUAAUUUAGAGAAGCGUCUUCCGCGCUGGACCAUGCACAAGUCUCCUGGAAUGGAGCGUCAUAGAGGGUGAGAAUCCCGUCUUUGGCAUGGAUGCACCAGGGCUUCUGUGAUGCGCUCUCGAAGAGUCGAGUUGUUUGGGAAUGCAGCUCAAAAUGGGUGGUGAACUCCAUCUAAAGCUAAAUAUUGGCGAGAGACCGAUAGCGAACAAGUACCGUGAGGGAAAGAUGAAAAGCACUUUGGAAAGAGAGUGAAACAGUACGUGAAAUUGUUGAAAGGGAAACGCUUGAAGUCAGUCGCGUCGACCGAGACUCAGCCUUGCCUUGGCUUGGUGUACUUCUCGGGUGACGGGUCAGCAUCAAUUUUGCCCCUCGGAUAAUGACAAGGGAAAGGUAGCACCUUUAUAGGUGUGUUAUAGUCUCCUGUCGCGUGCGAGGGUUGGGAUUGAGGAACUCAGCACGCGCCUUUUGGUGUCGGGGCUUCGGCCUACGUACGUGCUUAGGAUGCUGGCAUAAUGGCUUUAAACGACCCGUCUUGAAACACGG
Molecule: ribosomal RNA, 666 nt
Filed under: uncultured fungus
Lineage: Eukaryota; Fungi
Description: eukaryotic LSU rRNA
Rfam family: Eukaryotic large subunit ribosomal RNA
Source: RNAcentral